Molecule: ribosomal RNA, 788 nt
Filed under: uncultured Pelagibacteraceae bacterium
Lineage: Bacteria; Pseudomonadati; Pseudomonadota; Alphaproteobacteria; Candidatus Pelagibacterales; Candidatus Pelagibacteraceae
Description: bacterial SSU rRNA
Rfam family: Bacterial small subunit ribosomal RNA
Source: RNAcentral
ACGCCUAAUACAUGCAAGUCGAACGAGGUAGCAAUACCUAGUGGCAGACGGGUGAGUAACAUGUGGGUACCUUCCCUUUGGUGAGGAAUAACACGAGGAAACUUGUGCUAAUACCUCAUAAGUCUUCACAGAGAAAGCUUUAUGCGCCAAUGGAUGGGCCUGCACUUGAUUAGUUUGUUGGUGAGGUAAUGGCUCACCAAGACUUUGAUCAAUAGCUGAUUUGAGAGGAUGAUCAGCCACAUUGGGACUGAGACACGGCCCAAACUCCUACGGGAGGCAGCAGUAGGGAAUCUUGCACAAUGGAGGAAACUCUGAUGCAGCGAUGCCGCGUGAGUGAAGAAGGCCUUUGGGUUGUAAAGCUCUUUCGUCGGGGAAGAAAAUGACUGUACCCGAAUAAGAAGGUCCGGCUAACUUCGUGCCAGCAGCCGCGGUAAUACGAAGGGACCUAGCGUAGUUCGGAAUUACUGGGCUUAAAGAGUUCGUAGGUGGUUAAAAAAGUUGGUGGUGAAAUCCCAGAGCUUAACUCUGGAACUGCCAUCAAAACUUUUUAGCUAGAGUAUGAUAGAGGAAAGCAGAAUUUCUAGUGUAGAGGUGAAAUUCGUAGAUAUUAGAAAGAAUACCAAUUGCGAAGGCAGCUUUCUGGAUCAUUACUGACACUGAGGAACGAAAGCAUGGGUAGCGAAGAGGAUUAGAUACCCUCGUAGUCCAUGCCGUAAACGAUGUGUGUUAGAUGUUGGAAAUUUAUUUUCAGUAUCGCAGCGAAAGCGUUAAACACACCGCCUGGGGAG